GUACUCGCUCUGGCAGCACCUAUACUAAAACUGGAAUGAUUAGCACGGCCCCUGCAUGAGAAUGACAUGUAAAUUUAUGAAGCAUUCCAUUUUUUU
Molecule: small nuclear RNA, 96 nt
Organism: Gorilla gorilla gorilla (western lowland gorilla)
Lineage: Eukaryota; Metazoa; Chordata; Mammalia; Primates; Hominidae
Source: Ensembl